RNAcentral lists this unclassified non-coding RNA (155 nucleotides) under uncultured Helotiales. Its description in RNAcentral is "sequence contains ITS2". The record is from RNAcentral. Lineage: Eukaryota; Fungi; Ascomycota; Leotiomycetes; Helotiales.
CAACCCUCAAGCUCUGCUUGGUAUUGGGCGUCCACCGGCUUGGUGCGCCUUAAAAUCAGUGGCGGUGCCCCCUGGCUUCAAGCGUAGUAUUACUUUUCGCGCUCUGGAGGUCCGGGUUGGGUCUGCUUGCCAAAAACCCCACACUGUUCUCAAGG